ACCUUUCAGCCCUUUUGUCCAGGGUGAUAUAUUUCAGGGUGAGCUCAGCAAGACCCCUUCCUCUAAAGAAAAGGGACACAAAGGUGUUUACUGAGUGUCUUGGAAGAUAAAUGUGAGUUGAGCUGCUGCUGGCCAGGACCUGGAGGUAUCUGUCAGGGUCAGGAACAGGGUGACACUUUGAAACACAUCCCAAAGGAGGGUAUUGAAGGCUGCAUUCUAUAGUGAUAUUGGACAUACUCCUUGUAGGCAGAGUGCUAUUAACACUAUUCCUCUAAUCAUCAUGAGGAUGAACUAGCAGUAGCCACACUGCUGGCUGACACAAAUUCAGCUCUGUGACAAUACAGGCUUUUGUUUUUCAUAUUUAUAUCUUGGUGCGCUGGUUGGCCUGGGAAUGAAGAGCUCUCGCUGCAGAAGGUGUGUGAAUUCCAGCACUAACUAUGGGAUUUGCAGUGGGAGUGUGGGUCUAGUACUAGGCAGGCAUAUAACUUGCAGGCUGGUUGUCCUGAGGCACCAUCUGUAGGGCUGGGCUGAGUUUCCAGAGGAACCGACACAGAAAAGAGCUCAUCGAGGCUCAGCUUGCACUUUCUCAAGCUCAGACGCACAAUGGAAGUGGGAUGGCAAGGAGCAGAUUCAUUCCUACUAAAUCUUCUGGCCGUUAGUUCCCCCCGCCUUUGUUUGCCUCUCCCAUUUUACUGUAGUUUCUCACCAGCUGAACAAGGCAAUGAGGUCACUGUUUGGAGACCAGGGUGCAGAAGUCAGCCUGGGUAUGAAGACAGAAACUAAUCAGGAAAGUUUGUCAGGGGAGAGGAAUGGAGGGAUUGUACCCCAGUACAGGAUUAGUUGUGAGUGUGCUGGAUGAGUUUAAUAACACCUUAAACUUCCCUUUCUUCAGUACUGUUGCACAAAGCAAUUGGGUCAAAACUUGAUAGUGUUCUGCUGCCUGCUGUUGGUUCGUUGGUUGGUUUUAUGUGGUGUGUGUUUGUUUGCUUGUUUUUUGAGGAAAGAAGAAAAUUAGAAGAAGAAAAGUGUUUUGCAGAAAUAACAAAAGUCACAGUUCAGAUAUUUGCUCCUUCCUUCCUUCCUUCCUUCCUUCUUUCCUUCCUUUUCCUUCCUUCCUUUUCCUUCCUUCCUUCCUUCCUUCCUUUUCCUUCCUUCCUUCCUUCCUUCAUUCCUUUUCCUUCCUUCCUUUUCCUUCCUUCCUUUUCCUUCCUUUUCCUCCCUUUCUUCCCUACCUAAGAAGCCAGAAAGCUUUACAAACCAUUUUACAUCCAGUCCAUGAAAAGAGGGCAUGGGGCUUCAGCAUGGAGCACUGAUGCUGGAAGCAGGAGAGGUAAGGUUACCCAAGUAUGUUAGUUCCACCUGAUACCUGCAACCCAAGGGUGGUGCUGGUUCCAGGGCAAUGCUCUGGUGAUCCUGCCUGGCAGUCCCAUCACCCCUGUACCUAGGCCAGCUCUCUGGGGCAUGCCAGCAAAUGGAGAGGCUCCCCUGGUUUAUGGCCUUGAGUGACACAUUUCAUGGGGAAUGGGAUUACUUUGGUACCAGCCUUUUAAACCACAAAGCACAGGUGACUGCCUGUGCCUGUGCAGCGCAUCACGGGAUGCGCUGUUUGUGUGGGCUUUCAGAUGGGGUGCCUGUGUACAAAAGGAGUGCGGGAUGUGUGUGCACAGCCAGCCCCUCCGUGUGCUGGAUGUGAUAGGGUAUGGAGCUUUGCGUUUGUGAAUGUUUCAGAGGGGUGGGAAAGAGAAGGAGGAUGGGAAGUGAGCACGUGUCCAUCCCACAUGCAAGAUGUCUCAGAGGAUGUUGUUCUGCACUUUCUGGUCACAUUCAACCAUCCAGAAGCAGUUGAGUCAGUCUGCUAGGGUAUUCAUGCUCCUGGCAAGACAGCUGCAGGCAGAUGCAUCUCAAGUUGAAUGCACUGGUUCUGGGAGUCAGCUUGUCCCUGAGCGCAAGGUAAGCACCAAAGCAACAACACUUUUUUUUUUAUAAGAAAUGUAGUGGUGGUUUGAUCUGGCAUCCCUUAAAUGUGGUGUACCCCAUACUGCAAGAAGAAUGCCAGAAAUGUGUUUGCAACUUCCCUGAAUUCCAGCCCACUUGCACACAGACUGAGCUCUGCAGGGAUGGGCAGGCUCUGAGCUCUCAAGUGACAGGUCCCUGCCUUGGGUCCAGCAAAACCUCAGGCUAGCAGGAGGGGAGGAGUCAUCAUUGUCCACACCAAGCAAGAAACAUUGGGGUCUGCAGAAGAUUUGCAAAUUUUCUUGAAAAUCCAGCAAAGUCUGGAUAAAUUGCAGGUGUUAAUGACUCAGGUGCUGUGAAGUUGCAGCUGCUGUGUCCCAGAUCCUUGCUGGGUCUGCAGUAGAACUGAAUAGUUGCUCUGAUACAUCCUGGCAAUGACUGUGGAGUGAAAAGGCUUUGGCAGACGAGUCCCCGAUUGCCCCAGUUUUCUCAGACUCAAAUAGGUUAUUGUCCUUCUUUCCUCUCUGGUGCCAACAAGUUUCCUCUGUAAAAACCCUUCCCGCUCUGAAUCUGGCACACCAAUUCUAGAGCUUGCGAGACCACCAGAAAAGUGGUCUCCUGUUGAAUCACAGAUAUUUACAAGCUGUUGCUUACAAAGGCAAGGAGCAAUACCCUGUGUGAAGUAGCCUGGGGGAACAGCCCCUGGCCUGUGGUGAUGCAAUGGGCUGAUGGUUGCUGCAGGCUCUAGAAGCAAGAACUAUACUCAUGUCACUCCACUAGCACCAUGUGUAGGAGCCUGGAGCCUCCUGUGGCUGGCAGUCCCUUAGAGAAUGGAAACUCCACUGAUCUCGGCACUGAGCAAUCCCACUGCCUCAGAAGCGAGGGAGUGGGGUUACUCUCUCAGCCUGGUCAUCAUGGCAGCCACCAGAAUAGUUGCUUGCCAGGAAUAGAAGAGCAGCAACCAGCUGCUUAAGGCAGCAGCCACUGUGUAGCUGUUUUAACCCCUCUUAGUUUUUGCUGCAUCCUUCUGCAGACCCGCACUCACUGACCUUCCACGCUUACUUGACCAGGCAGUGCUGUGCCCACGAAAGGGUAGAAGACAGGCUGCGAUGCACUGAAGGAGCCACCAUAUCAGCCCAGUCAUUGACUGCCAAACCUUCCGCCUCAGAAAGGUGGCUGCAUGUCUCUCCCAAAGGAAAAAGUUUAACCGCUUGUAGUGGAAAAGCAUGGCCUGAAGGUAAACCGGUACUUAGACAGUUUUAUGGCCACCUUGUUUCCUCCAUUCACUCAUUCAUAUCUCUUUAACUGCAGUAUUAUCAACAUAUUACAUAUAUGCAAGAUUUACUGCAGACUUGUAAAGCCUUGAGCCUGCGUAGAAAUCCGUUUAUGCUUUUUUCUUUUCAUUCUCAUUUGUGAGUGACAUACCUGUGAGUGGUGACGGGGGAAUCACGUACAGUAUGCAUGACUGCACGUCAUAUUUACUGUUAAUGCCGCAGCUGCUGCCUCUGUCUCCUGUAGCCUUCAGUGAGUAUUAUAGCAGGGAGGACAGGUAAGAGGGACAAUAUUGCUAUAGCUUCUGACCUUUGUAUUUCAUGUGAUUUUCCGGUUCUCACCAGGGUGCUCUGGAGCUGGGGAGCAUGUCUGUAUUGGUAUCUGGCUAGUUUACACUAGUGGCUGCAAGAGGGCACAUCGUUCCAGUGAACUGUGGGACUCAGAUGUGGGAUUUGAUCCCCAUGUCCCAGCCCAAUAAAUACACCUGUCAUCACAUCAUUCCCUAGUCUACUUGUUUCUACAGCAUCUAACAUGUUUAUGUCUAUUCAUAUGUUGGCAUUUAAAAAAAAUAUUAUUAAGGCAAAUGCAAAGCAAUGCAAUUCCUAAUGCUUUUUUUUCUUUUUUUAAUAGAGACCAAAAUAAGCUACAGCAGGCUUUUGUCACUACUCAUGCAGCCAGCCCACAGAACUGAGCAGCAGGUUCUACAUGCUGGAGAACCAAGGGUGACCAUGACAACUGCAGGAACUUGGUAGAUCCCAGAGACAGAGAACACGGAAGAUCUGCAGGAACCUGCUGACAGGAAGACCCUUCUGAUGCCUGCCCAGCUAGUGAUUGGUCUGCUUUCUAGGUAACUGACAGGCCUGUUUUUGACUGAUGAAGGACUGAAGUAGGAAGAGCAAGAAGAAAUCAGCAGGCUUCACUACCCCAUGACCUGGUUACUAAUUUUGAAGCUGCAGAACAAAAGGUCAGCUGAUGCAGCACCCACAGUUCUUCAAUAAAAAUCAACUCCCUGUACAUCCUCCCACUCACAGAGUUAGACCAGGCCCUGGGCUCACCGUGCCAUCAUCCCCAGCAGCAUCACAGC
Molecule: long non-coding RNA, 4309 nt
Organism: Columba livia (rock pigeon)
Lineage: Eukaryota; Metazoa; Chordata; Aves; Columbiformes; Columbidae
Exons: 3
Source: RefSeq, a predicted model, not a curated record